This 3639-nucleotide ribosomal RNA is filed under the name Euglena viridis. RNAcentral describes it as "partial large subunit ribosomal RNA". It matches the Rfam family "Eukaryotic large subunit ribosomal RNA", at positions 54 to 2422 of the family's 3401-position model. The record is from RNAcentral. Lineage: Eukaryota; Euglenozoa; Euglenophyceae; Euglenales; Euglenaceae.
AGGAAAGGAAAGCAACUGCGAUUGCUCCAGKAAUGGCGAAUGAAAUGGCAUCCCAUGGCUCUCCCUGAAGUGAGUUUCCCUGUUGUUUGAAGGACCCACCCUGCCAAAGGGUUGGGUUGCGAUCGGCUAUCGUUGGAUCUCGGCAAAUGCUGUGGGCUAUGGAGCCGUUGGCUGUGCCAUCGGCGGUUGAGGCACCAGGAAACGCCCUGGAAUGGGCUACCACAGAGGGCUAUCGUCCCCUACACAGAGCAGAAGUGCCUCGACCGUCGGUGGUGUGGCCGGCGACAUCCCUGAGUAGAGUGGCUUGGGACUGCAGUUUGAAGUGUGAGGUGUAUCCAUCACAAGGAGGAAUACAGACCUGGGACCGAUAGAGCACAAGUAGAGCGAUCGAAUGAUGCAAAGGACUUUGCAAAGAGGGUUAAACGUCCCUGAAGCCUCGGCAGGAACGGCGGUGAGUGGUGCUGUGGGAAACACCCAGUCAGGCAGUCUCCAAACCCUCCGGUCCCCAGUGAGUGGUGGACUGGAUCGUGAGGGGCUGACUGGGUCACUAUCGGCUCUUCCAAGCGACCUUGGGCCAGCCCCAGGCUGGCCACUGAGCCCCUGCCCCUCGGGGUGGGGAUGCAGUCCUGGUAGCCCUUGGGGUGGCACCCUGCUCGUCAGGGCCCAAGGCUCCGUCGUUGAAUGUGCGUUGAAUCUCCAGACCAGAGGGGUGAGCCCGGCGUGUCGUCCCCACUCAGGGGCAGAGAUCGCCUGGUGAGCCCCAACCCAGCUGGCAAGUGAACGAUGAGGGUGCUGACACAAUCCCAGAAAAACCCUGGUGCUGUCUCCGGACGGUCGCCAGGUCGCCGGGUCUGCAAAGGCUUGGGGUGUGGUGGCUGCAUGGUGACUGCACCAUUCCGAUGGUGGUCGCUGGCUGGUCGCCUGCCCCCCGCUGGGGAUCCGGUGCCGAUGGGCAGUUGAGCUUGGCAAAAAAAUGGCAGUGCCACCCUCUACCCGUCUUGAAACACGGACCAAGGAGUCUAUGGAGCUUGCAAAGUGGCACGGUUCAGCAUAUCCCCUCAGAGGAACCCUCAGUGCGUGGUGAAGGCAACUGAUCAAUCCCAGAUGGGUGCCCCUGCAUGGGAUCACCGGAUCCAAAGUCCAUUGGACAGGGUUUUGAGUGCUUGCAAUUUCCAUGGGACCCGAAAGGUGGUGAACUAUACUGUUCUACAACGAAGCCAUGGGAAACUGUGGUGGAAGUUGGUCGCUGUUCUGACGUGCAAAUCGUGUAGCCUGAGCGCGGCAUAGGGGUGAAAGGCCAAUCGAACCACCUAGUAGCUGGUUCCCUUCGAAGUUUCCCUCAGGAUAGCUGGGCUCGAUUGUGUAAGCAUCCGCUCAAUGAGUGGUUACGUCUGGUAAAGCAACGCAUGAGAGGCAAAUCUGGGGAGCACCUGCUCCUCAACCUAUUCUCGAACUGUGAAUGGGCGUGGCAAAACCCAACGGCAUGCUUCUUCACAACGCCUGGAGGCCGCUCAGCAGCGGUUCUCCCUGGCCUCUGAGCGUGUUUGGCUAGACCAGGGCGGCCGGCCUCCCCUCGUGGGAUGGAUCCGACCACCGAGUUACCGUCGGGGUGAAGAGUCCCUCCCUGGGGCCUCGCCUUUGGCAUCUGUGGCAAGUGGUGCAUGGUGCAAUGGGUCCCAUCUGACACCCAGUUAUCGCUGGUGUGGAGGAGACAGGCCGCUGAUCUGCGAGAUUUGAACACAAAGGUGCCUAUGUGGGCCAUGACUGGUAAGCAGUGCUGGCGAUGCGGGGUGCUCCGAGAGCCGAUUUACAGAUCCCAAGUGCUGGCUCAUACUCAGAUCCCACAAAGGGUGUUGCUUGCUCUGGAUAGCAGGACGGUGGCCAUGAAGGUUGGAAUCCGCUGAGGAGUGUGUAACAACUCACCUGCCGAAGCGAGCAGCCCCAAAAAUGGAUGGUGCCCAAGUCAGUGAGUGUCUAUUCCCUCACAAUCGGCCGUUGCUGUGGAAGGAUCCCCUGGGAAAAGCAGAGCAUCAUCGUGUAGAAAGGGCAUGAGGGACCGCUGCUCCGGUUGGGUCUGUCCCCAGCUGGAGCGUCCCCUAGAGCAGAUCUUGGUUGUAGUAGCAAGUACUCCAUCGAGUGAAGGGCGGCAAACACAACUCCGCUGUGUGCGGUUGAGGACUGGAGUGGAGCAGGUUUCCACACCAAACAGCCGUUGAAUGUGGGUCAACCGACCGUGAGCCAAGUGGUAAGUUCACCAAACAACCAAAGCUGUCGUGAGGGCCUCUCUCCCUGGGCAGGGCUAGCCCUGGAACUGUGUGGGAAUGGUGCACCGAUCCCAACCCCAGUCUGUGGGGCACGCCAUCGCCUUUGCCUGGUUCUGAACCAGGACUUGCCAUGUGGGCAACGGCGGUGUGUGUGGAGUGGAUGUGCAACCAAUCGCUGAGCAGCGAAUCCCCCUUUCCAUGGGCCCCCUGUGGGGUAGGGCUGAGCCAAGAUGACAGGGCUGGCAAACAGGCAUGCGAGUGCAACAUUCUGCUGUGGUGGGGUUGGGGCGCUUUGCGGUGGCGACACCCAAAGUCCGAGCCAAUCAAGCUUAGGGGCAGUGAAGCCCCCGAGGAGUUGUCGUUUCCUCCUGAUGCAAGACCCAUGUGGGCUAUCGAUCGGCAUGCCAAGUGGGGGUGUAGCCCUCCGCUCAGCAAGGCAGCGUGGCCUCCACGCUGGUGGUCUCAGUUUCCAAAAGGCAAAAACCCAUGAGCUCUCCGGCCGAGCAGAGCAGGCUCUCAGAUAACAAGUGGUAGUCACUGGCUCCAAUGAAAGGCUUGAACGGCUGGGGUGCCCCAGAUCCCUGGCCGUCGUACUGAAUCACCGCAGCUGGUCUCCUUGACGAGAAGUCGCUAGUCCACAGACGAAAUGCAGCUAAGGGAAGUCGGCAAACUGGCUGCGCACCUUCGGAAGAUGCAGUGGCUCCAGAGGCCAAGUCGUUGAGGUCCCGCUGAGAGCCUGCUGUGGGGUGGGGCAGCUCCGGUUCCCCUGUGGUGUAGCUCGUCUGCGCCAUGGAUGGGGGGCUGGACGCCCUGCUCUGCACUGGUCAUGAGAUUCCUGCCUGCCUGUUGCGCUCCCUGGCCUGGUGGUCGCUGUGGUAUGUCCCACAGUGGCAGCAUAAUGGUGAUGUGAACCCUCAGAGAGGAUAUGUCGGCAAAGUGGUGGCGUGGUGAACCACCCAGUGAAGCAAAUCAACGGCAGGUGCUGCUCUCCUUGCUCUCUCGGUGGGGGCUGCCAGCCCUCGGGCUGUGCGGCCACCCUCUCGUCUACAGAAGUGGCUCAUGUGGAACUGUUGCUGUGCAGGGGAAUCUGACUGUUUAAUUGAAACCCAGCUUUGUGAAGGGACCAGCUGGCUGGUGCCAUGAGGUGACUUCUGCCCAGUGCUCUGAUUGUCAAUCCCAAGAGAUUGAGGCAAGCGCGGGUAAACGGCGGGAGUAACUAUGACUCUCUUAAGGUAGCCAAAUGCCUCGUCAACCAAUUAUUGACGCGCAUGAAUGGAUCAACGAGAUUCCUGCUGUCCCUAGUCGCUGUCUGGUGAACCAACAACCAAGGGAACGGGCUUGGAUGUGUCAGCGGGGAAAGAAGAGCCUGUUGAGA